Molecule: non-coding RNA, 180 nt
Filed under: Chitinivorax tropicus
Lineage: Bacteria; Pseudomonadati; Pseudomonadota; Betaproteobacteria
Description: beta proteobacterium KL-9 6S / SsrS RNA
Rfam family: 6S / SsrS RNA
About the family: E. coli 6S RNA was the first non coding RNA to be sequenced, but its function was unknown until recently. It consists of 184 nucleotides that fold into an extended hairpin structure with a large single-stranded internal bulge.
Source: Rfam by way of RNAcentral
GGUCCCCUGCGGUGUUCGUUCAAGGUCUAAUAUUCUUUGAACCAAUAUAGUAGAACUGGUUGCAAAUCCUUGAUGCCCUGUUGUGAGCGUCGCCCAGCGAUGCACCUGAUGGGUUCGGUGUGUAACCCCCUUGAACCUUACGGUUCAAGAUGAAGGCCGUACGGCACAGGCGGGGGGCUU